Podarcis muralis (Common wall lizard) is the source of this 533-nucleotide long non-coding RNA. RefSeq lists it as uncharacterized. The record is from RefSeq and is a predicted model, not a curated record. NCBI's taxonomy places the organism in Eukaryota, Metazoa, Chordata, Lepidosauria, Squamata, Lacertidae.
UCCAAAUCAAGCAUGCGGGAGCAGAGGAGUUCACCCAUCACAGGAGAAUAGGUAAUAGAAUGUGCAGGUGCUCCAGCUGGGGCAUAGACAGACAGGGACACCUGAAGAUCUCCCCUAGGGCCCUGGAAGAACUGGCUUCAAGACUCUGAAGUACUAGACUUACUUGUGACUGACUUAUAUUUCCUCUGAGACCUCUUCUUGAUCCAUGGCAACAGAGAAGAAGGUGCUUGCAUCUGCAGUUGGUGACCCAAGCUCCAGUUUCUUUUGCUCCCAAUGAAUGCGAACAUGGCCACAUUGGAUGUGAAAGGCAGCUCCCUUCCUGGAUAAACAUACAGCCAGCUGUGCCAAACGCUUUGAUGAGACACUUGGGUUGAUCAAGCCAAAUGGGAGAUUACCACUAAAUGGCCUAAAGACUAGGUGACUGCUGCAGAAACUGAACAUCCAGUGCCUUCUGUGGCAUUUCUAUGUCGGACUGGAAAAACAUGUGGGUGCUCCUCAAACAGAUAUUGAGAAUUUUUCUCAUCAACCUGCUC